CCAGCCCUCAGCCUUGGCCCCGCCCCAGGCUUAGCUACUCUCUGACCCGCCUCUGUCGCAGCGAGAGCUGAGCCUCCCUUCCCGCCUUGGCGCACACAGUGGGCACUUAAUGAGUAUUUGUUGAAUGAAUUUGUGAGAGGAAUGAAGUAACGACAGUGACCAUCCUUCCAGAGUGCUCCUUUGCCAAAUAGUAGAAAGUCCGCAGCAUCCUGGCCAAGUUCCUGCUAUGUGAGAAGAAUAAGGCAAACUUGAAAGGACAAAUGACCGGGCAAGGUUCUUAAAGCUAAGGGAACAUAGGAGUCACCUGAGAAGAAUUUUCAACGCACUCAAGGUCAGCUUCUGCCUGGGCCACCUGGGUCCUCUGGAGAUUCUCAUUCUGCCAUCUGCAGGAGGACCCA
Molecule: long non-coding RNA, 398 nt
Organism: Zalophus californianus (California sea lion)
Lineage: Eukaryota; Metazoa; Chordata; Mammalia; Carnivora; Otariidae
Exons: 3
Source: RefSeq, a predicted model, not a curated record